This 84-nucleotide transfer RNA is filed under the name Spirochaetales bacterium. RNAcentral's name for it is "tRNA-Leu". It matches the Rfam family "tRNA". From Rfam's summary of the family: Transfer RNA (tRNA) molecules are approximately 80 nucleotides in length. Their secondary structure includes four short double-helical elements and three loops (D, anti-codon, and T loops). Lineage: Bacteria; Pseudomonadati; Spirochaetota; Spirochaetia; Spirochaetales. The record is from RNAcentral.
GCCCAGGUGGCGGAAUUGGUAGACGCGCUUGGUUCAGGUCCAAGUUUCCGCAAGGAUGUGUGAGUUCGAGUCUCGUCCUGGGCA